Molecule: long non-coding RNA, 2806 nt
Filed under: Homo sapiens (human)
Lineage: Eukaryota; Metazoa; Chordata; Mammalia; Primates; Hominidae
Description: PREDICTED lncRNA (TCONS_00239299)
Source: RNAcentral
GGAGGGACAAGGGUCAUUAGUCCACAUGGGAGCUGGCUGAGGCUGAUGCCCAGGGAUAGGGGAGCUGAGUGGGUGCAGGCCCAGGAAGUGAGCAAUUGCCAGUGACACCGGGUGAAGGGACAGGAAGUGAGCAAUUGCCAGUGACACCGGGUGAAGGGACAGGUGGAGGAGGAGUUGUGAGCUCAGCUGCACAGGACAUUACUCCAAAUGGGGCUGAGGAGAAGGGGGACCCCCAUACUCCCCACCUCCCAAUGCUGAGGCAUGUGGGUAGGGGGCUACCCAGGAGGGCUUCAGGGAAAAAGUGUUCUGAAGGAAGAGGCAGGAGGGUGGUGAAGGGGACAUUUGGGGGCCACCCCUUCUCCAGCUGGCAAAAUUGUCCUGUCCCUGCUGGGUGCGGUGGCUCAUGCCUGUAAUCCCAGCACCUGGGGAGGCUGAAGCGGGAGGAUCACUUGAGGUCAGGAGUUUGAGACCAGCUUGGGCCACACGGUGAAACCCGCACCCCACCCCCCACCCCGCCCAAUCUCUUCUAAAAAUACAAAAAUCAGCUGGGCAUGGUGGUGCACUCCUGUAAUCCCAGCUACUCGGGAGGCUGAGAGAUGAGAAUCACUUGAACCCAGGAGGCGGAGAUUGCAGUGAGCCGAGAUCGUGCCAUUGUACCCCAGCCUGGGCGACAGAGCAAGACUCCAUCUCAAAAAAAAAAAAAAAAAAAAAAUUUGCCCUGUCCCCUGAGACUCAGAGGUCAGCCCCUGCAGAGUCCCUUCUGCACACCCCCAGCCCCACCCCAGCCUUAGCAGCCCUCUGUCUGGGCAGGACUUUGUGGCCCUCUCUCCAGUCUGGAGACCAGAAGGCCAGGAAGGGAGGCCAGGCAUGGUGGCUUAUGCUUGUAAUUUCAGCACUUUGGGAGGCCAAGGUGGGAGCAUCUCUUGAGCUCAGGAGUUCCAAACUAGCCUGGGCAACAUGGCGAGACCCCAUCUCUACAAAAAAUAAAAAAAUUAGCUGGGUGGUGGCACAUACCUAUAAUCCCAGCUACUUGGGAGGCUGAGGUGGGAGGAUUGCUUGAACCCAGGGGUUCAAGGCUGCAGUGAGCUAUGAUCGUGCCACUGCACUCAAGCCUGGGUGACAGAGACCCUGCCUCUACAAAAAAAAAGAAAGUUAGCUAGGUGCCUGUAGUGCCUGUAAUCCCAGCACUUUGGGAGGCCAAGCUGGGACUGCAGGUUCACACUACCAUGUCUGGCUAAUUUUUCUUUUGUUUUGUUUUGAGACAGUCUUGUUCUCUGUCACCCAGGCUGGAGUGCAGUGGCAUGAUCUGGGCUCACUGAAACCUCCUUCACCUGGGUUCAAGUGAUUCUCCUGCCUCAGCCUCCACAGUAGCAGGGAUUACAGGCAUGCACCACCAUGGCUGGCUAAUUUUUGUAUUUUGUAUAGAGACGGGUUUUCACCAUGUUGGCCAGGUUGGUCUCAAACUCCUGACCUCAGGUGAUCCUCCUGCUUCUGCCUCCCAAAAUGCUGGGAUUCCAAGUGUGAGCCACCACGCCUGGCCUUAACCACCAUGCCCGGCCUUAAUUUUUGUAUUUAUGUUUUGUAGAGAUGGGGUGUUGCUAUGUUGCCCAGGCUGGACUUGAACUCUUGGUCUCAAGCAAUCCUCCCACCUCGGCCUCCCAAAGCACUAGGAUUAGAGGUGUGAGCCAUCUGCACCUGGCCUAACCAUUGCUUUUUAUGUAAGGGGAAACUGAGGCCCAGAGAGUGUGAGUGAUCUGUCUUGGGUCACUCAGCCCCAGGGUUGGGGCUCAUAGCUGUUCUGAAAAGGUUCUGGAGAGGCCAGGGCUUAUCUCACAGAGGUUGGCAGCCUGUCUGCCCCAUCCCCUGCCUGCCUCUCCCAGCCUGGUAGCUUCAAGAUCAUUUGAGCAUUUCCUCCACAGCAGGAGCCGGAUGCAUCUGCUCCACCUAAUAACCCCAUUAGGGCCAUUUGCGCCUCUCAGGGGCAGGCGCCUGGGAACCCAGCCAGCGCCCUCCUCCCUGACCUCUUGCCCCAGAGGGCAGGGCCCCUCCACAUGGCACAGGGUGUCUUCCGGUCUCCUCUCCAUCCCUCACCCUCCCCUACCUGCCCAUCAGCAACACAUUGCUCCUCCUGCCUGGCACCCUUCCAAGGUCCACCUGGCCCAAGUGUCCUGCUCCUUCUUCAAAGCCACCCCUCCCCAAGAUGCUGCCUCUGAAGCUCCAACAGUCCAUCUCCCUGACAGUUGUGUCCUCUCCUUCUCUCGUAUGUGGUAGUAUCACUGUCUUCCCCCUAAAGCAGUGGGCACCUUGAGGGCAGAACCUUGCCGCGGGCAUCUCUGGCCCCUGGGGUCCGAGCACUGAGCGGGAAUCCUGAUGAUAAGUGUUGCAUGAGCUGGGCACAGUGGCUCACGCCUGUAAUCCCAGCAGGAGGAUCACUUGAGACCAGGAGUUCGAGACCAGCCUGAGCAACAUAGUGAGACCCCGUCUCUAAAGAAAUUUAAAAAAUUAGCCAGACAUAGUGCCAUGUACCUAUAGUCCAAGCUACUUAGGAGGCUGAGGCGGAAGGAUCGCUUGCACCCAGGAGUUUGAGGCUGCAAUGAGCUAUGAUCACACCACUGUUCUUUCCAGCCUGGGCAACAGAGUGAGAUUCCAUGUCUACAAAAAAAUUAAAAAUUAGCCGGACGUGGUGUCAUGUGCCUGUAGUCCCAGCUACUCUCAGGAGGCUGAGGUGGGAGGAUCACCGGAGCCCAGGAAUUAGAGACUGCAGUGAGCUAUGAUGGUGCCACUGCACUCCAGCCUGGGCUAUAAG